AGCCUUCCAUGACAGACAAGAGCCACUCAGGCUAGCCAAGGAGACUGCCUAUCUCGGCUCAUCUGAACCAGCCAGGCCACACUGAUCAUGGCACUGCAUCAUUCAGAAGAGCACAAUAGGCAAGUCAUCCUUGGCUACCAGAGGCAGGCUCUAGCCCUCAUGCAAGGCCCCUCUUCUUCCUCUUUCUUCCUAGCUUCCUUCCUACCGAUGAUCGAUGAUGCGUUACCGCUUACAUUUCGCGCUAUUUAUAAUG
This 253-nucleotide small RNA is filed under the name Oryza sativa Japonica Group (Japanese rice). Lineage: Eukaryota; Viridiplantae; Streptophyta; Magnoliopsida; Poales; Poaceae. The record is from RNAcentral.